RNAcentral lists this signal recognition particle RNA (291 nucleotides) under Sciurus vulgaris (Eurasian red squirrel). RNAcentral describes it as "Metazoan signal recognition particle RNA (ENSSVLG00005002563.1)". It matches the Rfam family "Metazoan signal recognition particle RNA". Rfam says of the family: The signal recognition particle (SRP) is a universally conserved ribonucleoprotein. Lineage: Eukaryota; Metazoa; Chordata; Mammalia; Rodentia; Sciuridae. The record is from Rfam by way of RNAcentral.
ACUACAGUAGGGCAACACCUAUAGUUCCAGCUACUCAGGAAGUUGAGGCAGGAGGAUCACUUGAGUCUAGGAGUUCUGGGCUGUAGUGCUAUGCUGUGUGCCCUAAAUUUGGCAUCAAUAUGGUAAUUUCUCAGGAGCAAAGGAUCACAGGUUGCCUUAAGAGGGGUGAACAUCCCAGGUCAGAAAUGAAGCAAGUCAAAACUCCUGUGCUGAUCAGUAGUGGGACUGGGUUUGUGCCUGCGAAUAACCACUGCAUUUCAGCCUGGGGAACACAGUGAGACCUUGUCUUUU